RNAcentral lists this ribosomal RNA (253 nucleotides) under uncultured bacterium. RNAcentral's name for it is "partial 16S ribosomal RNA". It matches the Rfam family "Bacterial small subunit ribosomal RNA", at positions 524 to 776 of the family's 1533-position model. The record is from RNAcentral.
UACAUGGGGUGCAAACGUUGCUCGGAAUUAUUGGGCGUAAAGCGCGCGUAGGCGGCCAACUAAGUCGGAUGUGAAAUCCCCAGGCUUAACCUGGGAACUGCAUCCGAUACUGGAUGGCUUGAAUCCGGGAGAGGGAUGCAGAAUUCCAGGUGUAGCGGUGAAAUGCGUAGAUAUCUGGAGGAAUACCGGUGGCGAAGGCGGCAUCCUGGACCGGCAUUGACGCUGAUGAGCGAAAGCGUGGGUAGCAAACAGG